Long non-coding RNA from Triticum urartu, 727 nucleotides. RefSeq lists it as uncharacterized. NCBI's taxonomy places the organism in Eukaryota, Viridiplantae, Streptophyta, Magnoliopsida, Poales, Poaceae. The record is from RefSeq and is a predicted model, not a curated record.
UUUCCAUGCCCAACCCACAACUUAGUGGACGCCUUCCAUUCAAACCAAGGCCAACACAAAUGCAAAGCAUGCGCAAACUAGUUUUUUAGUUUCCCUAUGUACCAACUGGAAAUACAAGGUUCAAAAAUAAAACUGGAAAUACAUCAUGUGAUCCGUUGGCUAAUUGUCCUUGUCAAUUUUGGGGUAUGAAAUUAAUGUUAUCUAUAUUUGGACACAUGUUAAUGCAUUUAAUGUGAUUAAUUUGGCGCCAUAUUUUUAAUGGCAUUCCUAAAUUAACAUAUCGGAUUGGUAUCAACCCAGUAUAAAAAGGCUUGACAUUUCAUAUCUUCUCCAUCUCAUCCUACAACCGGGACAACUAUCAGCAGCAUCUUGUGUCAACACCAUACUAAGCCAAGAUGAGGGUAACCCUUAUGCUACUCCUGACCCUCACGUUUCUCGUGCUACCAUCAGAUGCUGAAACAACUUGUAGUUCCAGGGAUUGGCCCCCGGGGGGUACAGCGUGUGAUAGAAGCGAGUGUGAGGACAAAUGUAAGAACUAUUAUAAUGACUAUUACCAGCAUUCUACUUGUGUAGGUCUCUGUAGUUGGACUUCCAUCUGUACAGACAAUGGGUGCCAUUGCUCAAUUUGUGAUGAUCACAGCCAUCCAUUCGGGCACUGAAUAAACUGAUCCUAACUAUGUAUCCUGAAAUGGUUUCCUCAUUGAAAUAAGAGAGAUAUUAAUUGCAA